This 422-nucleotide unclassified non-coding RNA is filed under the name plant metagenome. RNAcentral describes it as "partial contains 5.8S ribosomal RNA, internal transcribed spacer 2, and large subunit ribosomal RNA". It matches the Rfam family "Bacterial small subunit ribosomal RNA", at positions 358 to 777 of the family's 1533-position model. The record is from RNAcentral.
GGAAUAUUGGUCAAUGGACGCAAGUCUGAACCAGCCAUGCCGCGUGGAGGAUGAAGGUCCUCUGGAUUGUAAACUUCUUUUAUCUGGGAAGAAAUGGUUGCUUUCUAGCGAUCUUGACGGUACCAGAUGAAUAAGCACCGGCUAACUCCGUGCCAGCAGCCGCGGUAAUACGGAGGGUGCAAGCGUUAUCCGGAUUCACUGGGUUUAAAGGGUGCGUAGGCGGAACAGAAAGUCCGUUGUGAAAUCUCCGAGCUUAACUCGGAAAUUGCGGUGGAUACUAUUGUUCUUGAAUACUGUGGAGGUUAGCGGAAUAUGUCAUGUAGCGGUGAAAUGCAUAGAUAUGACAUAGAACACCAAUUGCGAAGGCAGCUGGCUACACAGAUAUUGACGCUGAGGCACGAAAGCGUGGGGAUCAAACAGGA